Molecule: long non-coding RNA, 266 nt
Filed under: Ananas comosus (pineapple)
Lineage: Eukaryota; Viridiplantae; Streptophyta; Magnoliopsida; Poales; Bromeliaceae
Description: long non-coding RNA (ACOM_LNC005311)
Source: RNAcentral
AAAACCCACGGGACCAACAUGCGAAAAAAUAAUUCACUAAGAGAAAAGAUUACAAGGUGAUUACCGACUCCACGGACUCAACCUCUCUUAACCUCCUAUGAAUCUUCGCGCUACCCUCCGGGUUGUCCACGCCCUCACGUCUGAAUCCACGAACGCCUCCACUUCGAAUCUACAAUACUCCGCUCCGAACUUCUUCAAGACUCCGACUCGACCCACGAAACUUGCCAACACAUAGGACCUAACAAAAACUCUUAACCCGGCUUAAG